UGGGGAAUAUUGGACAAUGGGCGAAAGCCUGAUCCAGCAAUGCCGCGUGUGUGAAGAAGGUCUUCGGAUUGUAAAGCACUUUCGACGGGGACGAUGAUGACGGUACCCGUAGAAGAAGCCCCGGCUAACUUCGUGCCAGCAGCCGCGGUAAUACGAAGGGGGCUAGCGUUGCUCGGAUUGACUGGGCGUAAAGGGCGCGUAGGCGGUUUGUACAGUCAGACGUGAAAUUCCUGGGCUCAACCUGGGGGCUGCGUUUGAUACGUGCAGACUUGAGUUCGGAAGAGGGUCGUGGAAUUCCCAGUGUAGAGGUGAAAUUCGUAGAUAUUGGGAAGAACACCGGUGGCGAAGGCGGCGACCUGGUCCGAUACUGACGCUGAGGCGCGAAAGCGUGGGGAGCAAACAGGAUUAGAUACCCCCGUAGUCC
RNAcentral lists this ribosomal RNA (424 nucleotides) under uncultured bacterium. RNAcentral describes it as "bacterial SSU rRNA". It matches the Rfam family "Bacterial small subunit ribosomal RNA", at positions 355 to 796 of the family's 1533-position model. The record is from RNAcentral.